GACGAACGCUGACGGUGUGCUUUAGGCAUGCAAGUCGAACGAGAAAGCCCUUCGGGGUGAGUACAGUGGCGAACGGGUGAGUAACACGUGGGCAACCUGCCCCUCGCGGGGGGACAACCGGGAGAAAUCCCGGCUAAUACCCCGUACGCUUGUCGGGCCGCAUGGUACUGACAAGGAAAGGUAGCUUCGGCCAUCCGGCGAGGGAUGGGCCCGCGUUGCAUUAGCUAGUUGGUGGGGUAACGGCCCACCAAGGCGACGAUGCGUAGCUGGUCUGAGAGGAUGAUCAGCCACACUGGGACUGAGACACGGCCCAGACUCCUACGGGAGGCAGCAGCCAGGAAUCUUGGGCAAUGGGCGCAAGCCUGACCCAGCAACACCGUGUGAGUGACGAAGGCUCUAGGGUCGUAAAGCUCUGUUGAUAGGGACGAAGGGCGAAGGGUUAAUAGCCCCUAGCUUGACGGUACCUUUCGAGGAAGCCCCGGCUAACUACGUGCCAGCCGCCGCCGUAACAC
RNAcentral lists this ribosomal RNA (512 nucleotides) under uncultured bacterium. RNAcentral's name for it is "bacterial SSU rRNA". It matches the Rfam family "Bacterial small subunit ribosomal RNA", at positions 28 to 526 of the family's 1533-position model. The record is from RNAcentral.